Molecule: ribosomal RNA, 253 nt
Filed under: uncultured bacterium
Lineage: Bacteria
Description: partial 16S ribosomal RNA
Rfam family: Bacterial small subunit ribosomal RNA
Source: RNAcentral
UACGGAGGGUGCAAGCGUUAUCCGGAUUUACUGGGUUUAAAGGGUGCGUAGGUGGGCAGGUAAGUCAGUGGUGAAAUCUCCGAGCUUAACUCGGAAACUGCCAUUGAUACUAUCUGUCUUGAAUUAUCUGGAGGUGAGCGGAAUAUGUCAUGUAGCGGUGAAAUGCUUAGAUAUGACAUAGAACACCAAUUGCGAAGGCAGCUCACUACGGAUACAUUGACACUGAGGCACGAAAGCGUGGGGAUCAAACAGG